AUUGUUGCAUUUUUACAAAUCAAAAUUAAAAAAUUAUAUAUACAAAACAAAAUACAAUAAUAAAUAAAGGAAAUGAAAAGAGAAAGGAAAAGAAGACAUUAAAAGAAAUGGUUUAAUAAAGUAUGUGGGCUGCUUUAAAAUUAAAUUAGUCUGUCCCAAAUCCCAAAUACUCGUCCAACCAAAAUAACCCCUCCCAGGCAGCCCAAAUCAGUCUCCAUACCCAGUCCAGUUGGGCAGCGACCAAACAGCGUUGUUUCACCUGUUAAAAUCCCAGUCGUUGAACGGUUGGGAACCAAACCCUUAUUUCCGCAUAUAUGUCUAAACAACAUACGGAUUCCCAUCUCUUUAAUCUCCCUUGUUCCUCAAACUGUAAAUACCCUCAAAGAUUCCGCCAUUGUCGCCGGCGGUCCACCACCAAAACCACACCAAAAUCCUACUGAAACUCACCUCCCAAAGCCACCAGACCUCCUUCAUCAUGAAUCCAUCACCUUCCUCGUCUGUUUUCUUUUUUUUCUAUUGUUCUCAGCCAUGUUUUAGUUAAACAGUUUGCCACCCUGUUAAGUUCUUAUUGCUCGUAGUUUACGCUCGAGUCUUGUUUUCGCCAGCGUUUGAUUAAUCGCUUUCAUGAAUAAGUAAACUUCUUAGGGUUCUAUUUGAUUUUGGUGGGAUGUUAUUUUGGUUCUGAUCUCUGUCAAAGCAAUGUUUGAUUCCAGUUAAAAAUUCGUAAACUAGUGUUCGUGGUAUAGGAUUUUGGUUAGUCGGAUUAAACAUAAAUGUUAUUGAUUAGGGCUUUGUUGGCAAUAUGGAAAUCUGUAGUUAGUGAGUUUGGUCUGAAAUUUGGUAAUUAGUUAGCUUUAACCACAGUUACAAAGAAUGAUUCGGGUUAGUAAUUGAGAGUGAAUGCAGGGAAUAUUUAUAAGUAGUUUGGGCAUUGAAAAUGGCAAUUUGUUAAGGCCUGUUAAUUACAGUAAAACAAAGGGGUAUCUUGGGAAUUAUAGUGUAAAGGAAUCUUCUUAGUUGUUACUUGAAGCCCCUAGAACUUUCUAGUAGGAAUCAAGUAGUAAUAACAGGGCAUUUGGGAGGUUAGAUUGGGGAAUUCAACUUGGGGAAUCUCUGGUAGAUAAUUGCAUAAGCAUCUAGAAAAGGGCUUGAGUGAAAUAUUAAACUUUAGAUAGUGAAACUUGGAAAACAAUCCAUAACUAGAGGGACUAAGUUAGAAAAGAAAAGUCUGAAAUUCCUUUAAACUUGGUCUAUAAAAAGCAGUAAAGGCUGAGGGAAUCACAAGUUGGAAGCCUCCCAAAAUUUCCCUCCCAUCUCUAUAAGUUUCAGAUCUGAAAUUUGAGACCUAAGCUACAAAUUCUUCCCAAAAAGUCCUUCUCCUUGAGUUUCAUAUCUGAAAUACCAAAUUUCUACUUCAAAAAAAUCAAAAAUCAAACAAAACAAACAAAACUUUCACAAAAAAUAAAAAUAUCUACUGUUUCAUUGGAAUAAUUUCAGCUUUUUAGAUACUGAGUUGCAUUUCCUAGUUAUUAUUUGCUUGCUGAAAUUUUGGGGUUCAUUAGACAAGAUUCAAGUGAUUCUGGGUUAAUUUGAGUAGUUCUACUUGAUUUCAACACAUUUAUGGAUAAUGUGCUUGUUUCUGGGUUUAAGCUUAGUAUGACUUUGGGCUGUUGAAUUCGAAUUGCUGCUGUUAGCCCUUCCUGCUUUGACUGACUUCUUUUCUUCAUUAUAAUAUCAAAUUCAGGUACACAUCUCAAGUCUGUUUCAAUGUAACUCUCCUGAUGGGAAAUGCAAUGAAGCUACAGUUUAUAUUAAUCCCUCUUCUGUUAUGUUUGAGUAUUUCUGUGUACCACGUAGUAUGAUUUAGUUGAUUGUUAGUGUAGUUAAAUGUAAUUGGAGUUGGACUGUGUUGCAUGAUGUUAACUGUAGCUUUUGGACCACAAAUUUUACAUGUGAAGUGUUAGCUGUAGAAUGGAGUUCCGGUGAUAAUGAAUCAGUAAUUGACUAAAAUUGUUAGUUAAUGAUUGUUGGUUUUUAAACUAUAAUUCUGGAAUUUCAAAGUGGAACCUGGAUAGUAAUGAGAUUGUUUAGACCUGCUUGAUUAUGUGAAUUGAAGUCAGUAGGUGAAAUGAGACUUUUGUGAUUAUUAAAUUAUAAAUUGUUCUUAGUCAUUGUAUAAAGUAGUUUCGUUUUGUUAAUUGAUAUUGAAAUCAACAGCCCCCCUUAAUUAGCAGUUUGUUUGCUUAAAAGUAUGGGAUUAAGCUCAUGAUUGAACAUUGAUUUGGUACUGAAAAUUAAUUAGUUUAGUUAGUGUAUUAAAUCCAGUGUUUUCGAUUACUAGUGAAAUUCGUAUUUGAUAAUCUGUUAGUGAUUAAGCCCAUAGGAAGCCUCGUAAUUUUCUUUGGGAAUCGAUGCUCUUAUGGACAAGCAAAGGGGUGGGCUAUUCACGCCGGCUGGGAUUCGAACCCAAGCCCUUGGCUGGAGAUGAGCUUCAUGUUAUGCUUGCGUUUGGGCCACCAUUUGACCCAUGUGGAUUGAGACUGCUUCGAAGAUGCAAUUCAAGAUUAAAUUGUUAUAUAAAAUUGGGGUUUUGAGUUAGUUAGCGGGUUUUUAAAUUAAAAGGUUCUUCCUUUUGUUUGGAUCCGGGCUUGAACUUUAAACCCGAGUUCUCAUUAUAAGCAAUUAGGAAUUUUUCUUUUCUUUUAGAGACAAAAACAAAAAUAGAAAAAUAUAGUUAUCUUAUAAGUUUAUCCUUUAAAAUAAAAUGAGAUGAGCGUCGCCAAAGAAAAACAACAAUUGCGGGGCCCCCAAUAAAGAUUUAAAAUAUUUUAGAAAUCGGGAAGGGCUGUAGCGAAUUUCAUGGCCCUUCCAAAAGAUUACAACGCGCUAGAUUCUAUUAGGCGCGACUUUAAUAAAUUACAUUCCUAAAUACGGGUGGGCGUUUUAUUCGGCCCAAAUCCAAAUCCUAAAACGUUGAAUAGAGUGUGUCUAGAAUUGCAAGUUCAUUUGAUGCGGCACAAUCCGAAAAUACAUUUUAAAUGACGUUCACUUUCUUAAAGAAAUAUCAUAUUAAAUAAAAGCAGUAAAAAAAAUAAAAACUGGCACAUAGGCUCUUCAUGUAAUAAAAUCAGACAAAAGCUAAACGCAACAGUUGAGCGAUCGUGCUAGAACCACAGAACUCGGGAAUGCCUAAUACCUUCUCAUGGGUUAACAGAAUUCCUUAUCCGGUUUCCUGGUUCGCGGUCUGUUAACAGUCAUCUUUUUCCUCGGUUCGGGAUUCAACCGGUGACUUGGGACACCAUUAGUCUCCCAAGUGGAAACUUUGAAUCUUAAGAAAUAAAUCCCGUUUCGAUUGUCCUUUAAGUGGAAAACUCUUUUGCGCCCCUUUGCGGGGGUGUAUAGCGGAAAAGGAGGUGUGACAGCUCUUGCGACUCUGCUAGGGAUAAGAACCUAGAACAUUUUAUUCAGGGUUUAGAAUUCGAGCUUAGAAUAAUUGUUGUGUUUGGCUUUAUGAGAUUUUGUUACAUGAUAUGUGCUUAAUGUGCUAGUUGAUUGCUUUUACCGCUUUGAUAUUACGUGAACUGUAUAUAAACUGUGCCAGAACCCAUCUCCUCUCUGAGUCCUCUGAAUUGUGAAGAAGGAUGUACGAUGUACGACUUCUUUUCUGUCUAGUGUCAAAUUCAAAUUUAGAAAGAGGUUUGGAUAAGUUGCAAAGCCGGUGAAGCUUCUGUAUUCCCGGAUUGCAGCCUCCCCUUCGGCUCGAGUUGUACGCUCAGGUAAGCCAGGUCUAGAACAAACACCCAGGUUUUGAACCUAGAAUAACUUAACCUUAUGCCGGAUUCACCGCCUCCCCCUCGGCUCGAGUUGUCUGCUCGGGCAAGCCAGGUCUAGAACAAACACCAGGUUUUAAACCUAGAAUAACUCGGUCACAUACCAGAUCCCUAGUAGGAAUGCUUAUCUGCAUCAUGUGCAUAUUGACUUAGGGGACUCAACACAGGGGUUAGGUCCGUCAAGGGCUAGCAACCUGAAAUGAAAAGACCAUCCUGAUGCAUCCUACUUGUUUUCUGUCCAUUUAUUUGUUCGGGCUUGCAUGUUGACCGGCUUUUGAAUCUCAAGAAUGUUAGAAAAUUUAAAAAAAAGGGAGAAAAAGAGAAAAAAAAUGGGAGUUGGAGUCUUGCAUGUUGACCGGCUUUUGAAUCUCGGGAAUGUUAGAAAAUUUAAAAAGAAAAAGAAAAAAAAGAGAAAAAGAUAAAAAUAGUAGUUUGGAAGUUAAUUGAUUGUUUUGGAAAACCCAAUGCCCAAGUACUGUCGAAACUCUGCCGAAAUUUUGAAAAAAUGAAAAAAAAAAGUUUUUCAGUUUGUUUUACUAAAAAGUAAAGGAAAAAAAAAGAAGAAGUAUUUCAUUUUUGGAAAUUGUUUGUUAAAAAGAAAAGAAAAGAGUCUUUACUUUAGGAAAAUAGGUCGUUUGGUUGUUGAAAAUGAAAAGAAAAAAAGAGGUCGUUAUUUUUUUCUUGCAUUUAAAAAUUAAAAAAGGAAAAAUAGUUUGUUUUGCCAUAAAAAAUGAAAAGAAAAAAGUCUUGAUUUUUAUUUUUCUUGUUUCAAAAUAGUUUAUUUGCCAAUGGAAAAAUAGGUUAUUGUAUUAUUUGAUGAAAAAGAAGAAAAAGAGUCUUUUAUUUUUUGUUCGGAAAAAUAGGUUGUUUUAUUGGAAUGGAAAAGAGAAAUAGUCUUUUAUUUUUUCGAAAAUAGGUUGUUUGAUAAAAAAAACGAAAAAAAAUAGUCUUUUAUUUUUAAUUAGGAAAAAUAGCUUGUUUGUUGAAAAAAAAAGUCGUUAUUUAGCCUUAUUUUUAAAAAUAGAGAAGGAAAAAUAGUUUGAUUUUCCAUAGCAAAUGAAAAAAAAUCUUUUAGUUUCAGGCUAUUUUAUUGUUUGAAAAAGUAAAAAAUCAGUAUUGCUUUUAAAAGUAGUUUUUUGUUAUAAAAUGCCAAAAAUGAAAAAAAAUGAUGUCUUGUUUUAAAAUAGCUCGGUAAAUCUGCCCGAACUACGCAUGGUUUGAUUCUCACAGGGCGUGGGAUACGUAGGCAACCCUCAUCGGGUCCAACCUCCCCUUUAUAAAAAUAGCCAAAAAAUGUCAAACUUUUAUUUUUCGCCGUAAAUAAGUCGGGUGAUGCCGUUCUGUUAGAAAUAGCCGAAAAUAGCCAAAAAAAUAUAUCAUAAAUAAACCAGGUGAUGCCUUUUUGUCAAAAAUAACCAAAUGUUCCUAAAUCGGGCGCCGGAAGGCUGACUUUGCAUAAACAGUCACCUUUGGUCAUAUUUCAAUUUUUGACCCUCACAGCCUUAAAUAUUCGUCCCCGAGGCACUGAAAGGACGUGUUUGCAAUACCGGGUCAUUUAUUUUAAUUUGAAAAAAAACAAGAAAAGAGUCAUUGGUCAAGUGAAUACCGUUCAGAUUUUGGGUCGAAAAUGGCAUAUAGGGAAAGGAAUCUAUUGGUGAUUUUUAAGUUUGUAUUUCUUUUGAUUAGAGUAUGUGGGUCGUUUGUUUAUGAGUCUGUCAGAGGCUGUUAGUUUAAGUUUGUCGGUUUUUAAAUAUUUGUAGUCAGAGUUAGUUUUAUUAUGAAAAACUGAAAAAUCCAAAAAAUGUUUUAUUAUUGUUUAUCUUCUAUCUGCAAGAACUACGCACGGUCUGAUUCGUGCGGGUCAUGAUAUGUAGGCAAUCUCCAAAAGAUUCGACCACAACUAAAUAAAGAAAGAAAAAAAGAAGAAAAGAAAAAGAAAAAUUAAAAAUGAAAAUAAGAAUUGAAUAAAAAAUGGGAAAAGAUGUUGUUAAUAAUGAGGACCAACUCAAUCCAUUCUAACAUGUUUUGUUUUGAACUGUGAAGAAAGUUGAGGUAGUUGGUUUGUAGUAACUCUUCCAUACAACACAAGGUCGAAAAACAAGACAGUCAUGGAUGGCAAAGGGUUGAACACAGGUUUUGAUACGUCUAGGGGCAUUGUCGAAUCAGAAUCUAAGCUGAAAGAAGAGGUUUUGAGGUUGAAAAGACAGAUGGUCGGAAUGCAAUAAUCUUGGGCCAGUGGGUGUCCUCCGCUAUCAGUCCCCGAUGCCCAAUAUUACGUUCCAGAACCAAUUUUCAAGGCCUCGAGUCCAUACCAUCACGUUCUUCAUUUUGGGUCUCCCAGUGAGACUACGAAGCUUUAAAACUGUGGAGUGGAAUGAGAUAUCCAGAAAGCUGGAAGGGUUUAAGAUUCCGAAGUUUAAUUUGUAUGAUGGGCGGGAAGAUCUAGUGGACCAUUUGAGGGAAGUAUGAUGAGUUGUUGAUGUCGCAUUUCAGUGAGAGCCUGACUGGGGCAGCCUUGGAAUGGCAUGAUCGUCAAGAUGCGAGAAAUGGCACACGUUGGGAGACAUGGCUUUGUGCAACAUUUUCAGUACAAUAAAGACAUUAUCCCAAACCAUUCCUCCCUAUCUUCGACGGAAAACAAACCCAAGGAAAGUUUCAGGGAAUUUUGGGUCAGAUGGAACGAACAAGUUGCUCAGGAUAAAAAAAGAUAUUGUUGAGCCACACCAACGACAGAUCCAAGUGGUCGUUCCUGCCAAGCGUCUUCAGCCUCAACUCCAAUCCCAAACAUGUCCUCGUGCCUCACCUAAGCUACCUCAGCAUUAGCCUCCAGACAAUGGCUGGUCAUGUAUCCAAACACUAGGACACUCCCUCUGCCAACGACAGGGCCCGGUGGUCGUUCUUGGUAAAUGCUUUCAGCCUCAAUACCGACCCCGUGAACGUCCCCAAACUCCACAAAAUCCAUCUCAGUACUUUGUACAUUAUAUACUUUUCUGUUGUAUUUAGACCCUAGUAGAUGCGUGUGACUUGUAACACCCCGGUAUUGGGCUGUCUCGACCCUCUCUUGCUACAUAUUAGUAGUGCGGAGUAGGUUGCGAUCACUUUUUGGCGCCGUUGUGGGGGAGCUAAUGGUUUUGACUAUCUAUUUAGUUAUUUUUGAGUAUUGUUCUUAUUUUCUUAUUUGUUUCUAACUUGUUUGUGUCAAACAUUUAGGUACAACAUGGCAUUAAAUGCUAAUAAUCCUCUUGGAAACGUGAUUACGGCGGAGGAGGUUGAUGAUAAUGGAGAGGAUGAGGUGCCUCUUGUACCUCCUGGUCAACGAAGAGGCCUUCAAUCCAAUGUAAAUAAAAAUAUUCCAGACCCUCCUCCACCACCUCCAAGAGUGGUUCCCAAAGUAUUAUCAAACCAAGGCUAGGCAAGUGUUAUUGUCCCACCCCGUAUCUGGGCGGAAAAUUUUCAGAUAAUCAAUGUGAUAUUGACCUUACUUGAGCAGCAUGGGUACUUCACGGGUGUCGCGGAUCAAAAUGCCUACAAGCAUCUCAAGGGGUUCCUAGAUACGUGUUGAGGGAGCAAAUAGACGAAUGUGUUCGAGGAUGCUCUUAGGUCGAGACUUUUCUCAUUCUCACUUCGGGGGAAGGCAUUAGAUUGGAUCGAGAGGCUCCCAAACCAUUCCAUCACAACUUGGGAUGAGUUGGCAGACAAGUUUAUUGCUAAAUUCUUCUCACUAGGGCAUAUAGCGACUCUUUGAGAUAAGAUCCUUCAAGAAAGAUCCAACGGAACCUUUGUAUGAGAUUUGGGAGCGGUAUAGAUCGAUGAUGAAGGAAUGCCCCAACAACGAUAUGACCAAGGCGAUGAUCCAACAAACCUUCUAUCGGAGCAUCAAUACAACAAAUCAAUACAUAGUGAAUCAAAUUGCUGGGGUAAUUUUAUGUUUUCAUAUAAUGAGGCAUGUGAUAUACUUGAUGAAAUGGCGUACACCUCUUCAACAUGGCAGAGUAAAGCAAAUGUGCCUCAAGGUACCCCUACGGUUAUUCAUUUGCACCAAGAAUUUCAUGAUCAUGGUCAAGCUAUUGCUUAGCUUACGACCACUGUGAACCAAUUGGUGAAGGUGCAGUUGCAACAAGUCCAAAAUCCUCUCCAAGUCAAUGCCAUGGAAGGUGUCAAUAUGCUCGUCAAUAAGAGAAGGCAAAGAGAGCAACAAACUCAAGGUAAUUCUAAACAAUAUGGCAAUGACUGUGGUUGCUUUCAAAAUGAUUGUUAUGAUGACCAAAGUGAAGAGGUUCAAUAUGUAAACAACUAUCAAGGACAAUGGGGAAACUCUUCAAACCAACAACAGCGGAGACCUCAAGGCAAUUAGGGCAAUCAACAACAAAACACUGAUAACUGGGGGAAUAAUAAUCAAACAAUAACUGAGGGAGUCAGAACAACAAUCAAGACAACCAAGGGAGUUGGAAUGGUAAUAACAAUAAUUAGAACAACAAUAGUCAAGGCGGGUGGAAUAAUGGGAACCAAGGCAACCAGGGGAAAGGCUUUCAAAGACCCCCAAUGUACCAACAACCGAACAACCCGCCCCCAUUUCACUCUCAAGGUUCUAGUUCUUCGGGAAAUGAUAUGGAAAGAAUCGAAAUAAUGUUCAAACAAAUAAUGAAGAAGAACUAAGAUUCUGAUGCUAAAUUGGCUUCCCACAAUACCUCUAUCUAGAAUUUGGAAAUGCAAGUAGGACAAAUCUCUCAAUCGGUGAAUACUCUCCCUAAGGGUGCUCUACCAAGUGAUAUGGUAGUGAACCCGAAGGGUGGGAACAAUCAUGUGAUGACGAUUACAACAAGAAGUGGGAGAGGCGGUGAUGUGAAUGCCUUGAAAGAAAAGCAAGUUGUAGAUGAUGGUGUUGAGUUUCAAGAAGAUGAGGUUCCUUUGAUAGUUAAAGAUGUGGUUGAGAAAAAUGUGAACAAUGAAGUGAGGAAAGAUAUUGAUGAGGCUGAGAUGGAAACUCAAGAUGUCGUGAACCCGUCUAGAGAACACGUGAUUGACAUGCCCCAGCCAGUGGUGCCCAAAGCCAAGGCACAAGGCCACCUCUACCUUAUCCUCAAAGGCUUGCAAAGAAAAAGAGCGAAAACCAAUUCAAAAAGUUCAUUGACAUGAUGAAAAGCCUUACUAUCAAUGUGCCUUUGGUGGAGCACUUGAACAAAUGCUGGGAUAUGCCAAGUUUAUGAAGGAUUUGGUGACGAAGAAGCGGUCGAUGGAUUGUGUAACAAUAAAAUUGACUCAUCAAGUCAGUGAUAUCGUACAUACAAUGGCCCCAAAACUUGAAGAUCUCGGAGCUUUUACCAUCCUUUGCACUAUUGGAAGUGCGGACUUGGCCAAGGCCCUUUGUGAAUUGGGGCUAGCAUAAAUUUGAUGCUUUAUUUGGUCUUCAAGACCUUGGGAAUUAGGGUUAUAGGUAGUUCUUUAGUUAAAAUAAGAGACGGGAGGGGAGUCGUUGGAUCUUUUUGAUCAAUGACUCCGGAUUUUUGGAGGUUAAGAAUAGAUAAAAGAUUUCAUUAUGAAAAUAUGAGGACCUUUGGAUCCUUUUGAUCUAAAGCUUGCGAUGAAGCACCGAAGGAUUUAAAAUAGAAGGAAAAGCUAAGAUUAAUUGUGGACCGUUGAUCAUCAACGGUCCAGAUUCCUCAUGUUAGUUAUGUGAGUGUGUGAAGGGGGUGAUGUGGCAUGCGACGAUUGGCUUGAUAGGAAUGGCACGAAUUGAAUACUUAGACGGGGAUGAAGGGUUGUCAGACCGGGUCAUGAUGCAUUGGUUCUGUGCUUUAGGCCAAAAUUAGAUGGAUAGAAAUUGAGAACAUAACCACAUGAAUUAGAAUUAAAUAAUUACAAUUAUAGACUAUUUAAGUUUAUAACCCCCUUUAUAUAAAUUGAAUAGACUUUGUUAGUCCCGUUAAUAAAACAUAAUUAUCAAAUAUAUAAGUAGUUAAUUAGUGUAACUAUUUGAUUGCCAAAAAUAAUUGUUAUCAUCUAUUAAAUUAUAAAAACUAAUUUUUAUUAACCAAAUUAAUAAAGGUAAUAUAAUUAUUAAGACUAAAUUAUUAGUUGUAAUAAUUGUUCAUAAAAUUAUGAAAGUUCAUUUAAUUAAUUAAAAUAGUAGAGGUAGUAUAAUUUAUAAAUAUUCCAAAUUAAUAAAGGUACAUGUUAGUUAUGUGAGUGUGUGAAGAGGGGUGAUGUGGCAUGCGACGAUUGGCUUGAUAGGAAUGGCACGAAUUGAAUACUUAGACGGGGAUGAAGGGUUGUCAGACCGGGUCAUGAUGCAUUGGUUCUGUGCUUUAGGCCAAAAUUAGAUGGAUAGAAAUUGAGAACAUAACCACAUGAAUUAGAAUUAAAUAAUUACAAUUAUAGACUAUUUAAGUUUAUAACCCCCUUUAUAUAAAUUGAAUAGACUUUGUUAGUCCCGUUAAUAAAACAUAAUUAUCAAAUAUAUAAGUAGUUAAUUAGUGUAACUAUUUGAUUGCCAAAAAUAAUUGUUAUCAUCUAUUAAAUUAUAAAAACUAAUUUUUAUUAACCAAAUUAAUAAAGGUAAUAUAAUUAUUAAGACUAAAUUAUUAGUUGUAAUAAUUGUUCAUAAAAUUAUGAAAGUUCAUUUAAUUAAUUAAAAUAGUAGAGGUAGUAUAAUUUAUAAAUAUUUAAGAUUAAAUUACUAUUGAUUAUAGAAUUAAUAUUACUAACUAUUAUUAUACUUAUUAUAUCAUUUAUAUUUGGAGAAAAUAGCUAUUAUUCAUUAUAAAAAUACUCUACUAUAUUUAUUGUUGAUUGAUAAGUGUAAGAAAUUUAUAUUAAAAGUGGAGGGUCAAAAUUGAUCGUCAACAAGAUCGACUAGACAAGAUAUUAUUACCUUGUUAGGCGGGAGAGACAAGGCGGUAUAUUGUUAUUGUUGGGAUGGAGCGAUACGUGUGGAUAUUAUUAUUGUGACAGAGCUGCAGGCAUGAGGUGCCAUAUGUUUAUGUUUCUAUUUAAUGAUUUGUUGCCAUGCUGAACUUUUACUUGUUUGAGUUGUCAUCACAUGUUCUGAGGUUGUUGAUGUUGUUUCUGUUACAUAUCCUGCUAUCAAUUUUCAUUUGAUACAUUGCACAAAUUAUUUGAUUAGUGAAUAUCACACGACUUGAACCUCGUCACCACUUCACUGAGAUUAGUCUUGCUACUUACUGGGUACCGAUUGUAGUAUAUUCAUACUGCACUUCUGUAUAUUUUUAUGCACAUCCAAGUACUUCUAAUCUAGCAUAUCUCUAGAGAGGCUUGCUUGUGCUAAAGACUUCAAGGUACAAGGUAUAACAACUUCAAAUUUAUGAAAGCUGUGAAAUAUUGUAAGACCCCAAAAAUUUUUGCUAAGUGAUUUACGAUUUGUGCUAUUAGUAUGGUAUAAAUCCAUUGGAUUGGUAAAUAUGUGUAUAAGUCUUGUGGUAAGUAAUUUGGGGUCCAUGGAAAGGCCUAAGUCUAAAAUUUUUUAAAAAGUUCAUUAUAGAUUAAAAUUUCCAAUGAUCUUACACUAGUCCCUACUGUUAAUGGGAAUAUCAAAAUAUCUAUAAGACUUUAGGUGAUGAAUAACAUAUCAAAUGAAAGUCUUCGAGUCUAGUUUCCAACGCUUCAAAGCAUUUGUCAUUUGGACAUUCCUACAAAACGUUAUGAUCAAAUUACCAAAGGCUGGAAAUGUAUCCUGUGUCAAUUCUGCGACCGUAGAUCAUAACGCAUUUCUCACUUUGCGGUCGAUUCUAGUCACAGAAUGGUCUAGUGUAGCCCAAUUUUGGGCGUCGAUUUUGCGGUGCAUCUGCAUACUGCAUUCCUAUCCUGCGGUGCAUUCAGCUAUAUCAGAACUGACGUCGUAGGGUUAAUUUUCUAAUUUUUAUAACCCGGCCCCAUUUUGAUAUAUGUCCUUUGGGGCUUCAAUUAGGGUCAUUUUCUAGUGAUUUUAGAGAUAGGUGAGAUCAUUUUAGAGGGAGUCGGAGGAACGCAACAUUUAAUUAUCCAAACCUUGCAUUGAUGGGUUGGUGUAUCCCCCUAUUGAUUUGGAAAGAUCCGUUAUGUUUAAAGUUUCAUUGUUAAUAAACUUGAGAUGUAUGAUUUUUGGAACAUUGUAUAUGCCCAUGGGUCCUGAUUCCUCUCAUGUGCACUUGACAUUUUGAAUUGAAUGGCUUGUUGUUGAAAUUGAUAUUGAUGUAAUGUGUGAACCUAUGGACGGACUAUGAAACGCAUAGGUGUGUACUAUAACAUGUGGGACCUAUGGACGGGCUAUGAAAUGAAUAGGUGUGUGGUGUAACGUGAACCUAUGGACGGGCUAUUAAACGCAUGGGUGUGUACUGUAACAUGUGGGACCUGUGUACGAGCUAUGAAACACAUAGGUGUGUGUAUAACAUGUGGGACCUAUGGACGGGCUAUGAAAUUCAUAGGUGUAUACUUUAACAUGUGGGACCUAUGGACGAGCUAUGAAACGCAUAGGUAUAUGAUAUAAUAUGUGAACCAUAUGGAUGGGCAAUGAAUCGCAACCUAAAUGUAUGGAAAUUAUGUGGAAGCUAUGUGAUCCUUUUUAUUUGAUAAUGUCUUGAUCAUUUAAAGUGUUUGAAUUUCACAUGUGAUUUCCUUAUUGUUGUAUGAAAGUUCUUUCUAAAUAGAUGGUGUUUAGUUAUACAUACUAGUACUAUUCAAUGGCACUAACGUCCCUUUUGCCGGGGGCGCUGUACCAUUUUAUGAUACAGGUGUUUCCACGGCUAGCGGCAUCGGCCAGUGGUAGUAGUAUCCUCUUCCCAGCAUACUUGUUGAGCCCCACUUUGUCAUGGGGUCAUGUCAUGUAUCUCCUGUUCAUUUUCUCAUCACAUAUUUGGUAUUUGAGGUAUAUCCGGAGCCUUGUUUCCGGCAUUUCCAUAUUAUUCUUCAGCUAUGUUUAGAGGCUCCGUAGACUGGUUGUGGGUAGUGUUGGGUAUUGGAAAUUAAAAUAGAAAUACCAAUGUUUGGAAAUGAUGUAUACAACUUGUAAUGCCUUUAAAGUGGCAAAUGAAGUUGCUAAUGAAAAUGGAA
RNAcentral lists this long non-coding RNA (12875 nucleotides) under Nicotiana benthamiana. RNAcentral describes it as "long non-coding RNA (NBEN_LNC009120)". Lineage: Eukaryota; Viridiplantae; Streptophyta; Magnoliopsida; Solanales; Solanaceae. The record is from RNAcentral.